This is a long non-coding RNA of Drosophila innubila, 293 nucleotides long. RefSeq lists it as uncharacterized. NCBI's taxonomy places the organism in Eukaryota, Metazoa, Arthropoda, Insecta, Diptera, Drosophilidae. The record is from RefSeq and is a predicted model, not a curated record. The transcript is spliced from 4 exons.
UCUCACUUCUCACACGCAUCCAAACGUGCCCUGGUUUAGCUUGUUCCGGUUCUGGCUACUCGUGUGUAGCCAAUGCUCAGAGACGCUUUGAAAAAGUUUUAAUUCACAUAUGUACAUUAAAAUAACAACAAAAAAAGUGAGUGAAAACUGGAAAACCUUUGACCUUAACUUUAAAACAAACACAUAGCUUAUUGCAAGCCCAUCUUUGGGCCACUUCAAACUGGCACAUCAAUUUUGGUUUUCCUAUCCGCCACCUGGCGCUGGCGGCGGUUCCUCAACUCAGCUAAUAUUCU